CCGGCCUUAGCUCAGUUGGUAGUAGCGGCAGACUGUAGUGGCAUAUGCCUGGGACAUCUGUAGGUCCCUGGUUCGACUCCGGGAGGCCGGA
This is a non-coding RNA of Quaeritorhiza haematococci, 91 nucleotides long. NCBI's taxonomy places the organism in Eukaryota, Fungi, Chytridiomycota, Chytridiomycetes, Quaeritorhizaceae. The record is from the annotation of a GenBank genome assembly.